GACGAACGCUGGCGGCGCGCCUAACACAUGCAAGUCGAACGGAGAUAAGGAGGAGCUUUGCUUCCACCUUAUCUGAGUGGCGGACGGGUGAGUAACGCGUGAGUAACCUGCCUUAAAGAGGGGGGAUAACGUCUGGAAACGGACGCUAAUACCGCAUAACAUACUUGAGUGGGCAUCCACUUGAUAUCGAAAGGAGCAAUCCGCUUGUAAGAUGGGCUCGCGUCCGAUUAGCCAGUUGGCGGGGUAACGGCCCACCAAAGCGACGAUCGGUAGCCGGACUGAGAGGUUGAACGGCCACAUUGGGACUGAGACACGGCCCAG
Molecule: ribosomal RNA, 321 nt
Filed under: uncultured bacterium
Lineage: Bacteria
Description: bacterial SSU rRNA
Rfam family: Bacterial small subunit ribosomal RNA
Source: RNAcentral